CAUGUCCCUGAGACCCUAGAGUUGUCCGGAAUUUGCGAAUCCACAUUUCUCGCGUGGCAACUCUAAUGUCCCGGGUUAUGAG
Molecule: microRNA precursor, 82 nt
Filed under: Echinococcus multilocularis
Lineage: Eukaryota; Metazoa; Platyhelminthes; Cestoda; Cyclophyllidea; Taeniidae
Description: microRNA emu-mir-125 precursor
Gene: emu-mir-125
Source: miRBase by way of RNAcentral